Molecule: ribosomal RNA, 465 nt
Filed under: uncultured bacterium
Lineage: Bacteria
Description: partial 16S ribosomal RNA
Rfam family: Bacterial small subunit ribosomal RNA
Source: RNAcentral
GACGAACGCUGGCGGCGUGCUUAACACAUGCAAGUCGAACGGAAAGGCCCUGCUUGCAGGGUACUCGAGUGGCGAACGGGUGAGUAACACGUGGGUGAUCUGCCCUGCACUUCGGGAUAAGCCUGGGAAACUGGGUCUAAUACCGGAUAGGAGCCAUUUUUAGUGUGAUGGUUGGAAAGUUUUUUCGGUGUAGGAUGAGCUCGCGGCCUAUCAGCUUGUUGGUGGGGUAAUGGCCUACCAAGGCGGCGACGGGUAGCCGGCCUGAGAGGGUGGACGGCCACAUUGGGACUGAGAUACGGCCCAGACUCCUACGGGAGGCAGCAGUGGGGAAUAUUGCACAAUGGGCGCAAGCCUGAUGCAGCGACGCCGCGUGGGGGAUGACGGCCUUCGGGUUGUAAACUCCGUUCGCUAGGGACGAAGCUUUUUGUGACGGUACCUAGAUAAGAAGCAUCGGCUAACUACGUG